GCUUUCGAGUAGUCAGACUCGAGCUAGCCUUUGCUGGAAGAUACACGUAAAUCGUUUGACGAUAAGUAUGUUCGUACAUUGUUCAAGAUUAUGUUUAUCAUUUGUCGUAAUAAGAAAGUUUGUUGCAUUCUGCGAACAUCCAGUGACGAUGCAGUCGGAGAAUCAUCGUGAGUAAAGGUAAAUAAAAGACACGGUGGAGUGGUACGUACGCUAUGUCGUCACAUCCUGAUGAUGCGACAGUGAAACUCUCGACCUCGAUCUUGUGACUGAGGUCGUAUAAUCAUGGUUCAUGGCAUAAUCAAACUCCUGGUGAUCGCAUACGUGCAUGGUUAACCCAUUGGCCGUUAAGAAUGUUAUGAAGACGUUAAAGAAUCUUGCAAUGACGGGAGCCUUCGAUGAUGAUGAUGUGUUGAGGGGGUUAAGGAUGACUUGGUUUUGGUGUCUCGAUGCUAUAAGACCGGGGAUCAAUGAUGAUGCAUGGGAACUUGGGAGUGGAGAUGACAGGUAAUCAAGAGAAAAUAGGUCGAGAUCACCAUGAAUUCGUCGAUGUUGACUUCGGAUCAUUGAUAAACUGGUCAACAAUCCUGAAACCUCAGAUGUAUGUAUGGCAUGGAGACAGGGACACUUCUCUCUCCAAUAGUGACUGCGUUUGUAUUUAAUAAAUUUUAGUCAUGGUACAUCAAAGCAAUGACAGAACCUUUGGUAUAUUUGGUAAAACACAAAUUCAAGUGCAAAGCUCUAAAUAACUCAUAAGGCCAUUAUUUAGAAAAUUAUCAGAGCCCAUAUCUUUGGGGUUGGUUUUCUCUAUUACAACAAGACUUCUCGAAUUGUGAUAGGUUUACUUUAAUUUGAUAUUUGAAACAAAUAGACAUUUGAAAUGGAAUCCUUUCAUAUUCGUUGUGCUGGGAAGAAAUGUCAUAGAAUUGCCACAUUUUCAUGCAACUCUGGUUGUCACGUAAUCAGUACAGCAUAUGGGAAAACGCUCGACAGUGUCCGAAUUUUCAUAUCAAGUAUUACCAUUGGAGAUAAACUCACAAAUAAUGGUAACUCUUUCGAUUCCGUCGCCCGCCGCCUUUCCCCUUCAAAUUUCUAAUUCUUCUUCAGUCGGACAGAGAAGUGUCACAAAGGGACAAAGAAGGGUUUCAAGUUUCGCAAAUCGUGUGAAUGUAAAAGAUUUCUUCCCCACUCCCCUUUCCUCGCUCUCACUCAAUUUCUCCAACAUCUUACAUUCAUCCCCUCCCCUCUCCCCUUCCUUUCCCCUUCCCUUCGUUUCUUCACAUUCGAUGGGAGUCGGUGCACCUCGUUUAGACCCACAUAAAUUACUCUAUUAUGCGCAUGUUUGAGUUCAAAUAGAGGAAAGAAAGCGAUGAAAGAAGAAGCGAUUGAGAGGCUUGGAUGGAACACACGAGCGACGUUGCAUCUCUCUCGGUCAACCCACCCGUAUCUUACCCCCUCAUUCUCCCAUCCGACGCAGCCUUUUCUACAUUACCAGAAAGUAAAGUGCUUACUUUUGCCUUAUAGUUUUACAUACAGGUUUAUCCUACGUUUGAUUAUUUUCACUUAUAUGAUUAACGUAGGAUCACUUAAAACAAUAUUUUUUUUGUAGAUAUUAGAUACAAAUUAAAUUGAAUUUAUCAAAAAAUUAAUGUACAGUUAUUACUAAAAUUGUAUAUUACAAUGAAGAUGAGAUAAGCAUGUUUAAUGAGGCAACGUACAUUCAUAUUUCAUUUUUGUUUUUACUGUUAAUAAUUUUGUUUGUUCUUUAUUGAGUGUUGGAAACAAAAUUUUGAUAACUUUAAACAUAUCUAACAACAGCGCACACUUAAAAUGUUCAGCAACAUACUGUCCAGUGUG
Lytechinus variegatus (green sea urchin) is the source of this 1854-nucleotide long non-coding RNA. RefSeq lists it as uncharacterized. The transcript has 3 exons. NCBI's taxonomy places the organism in Eukaryota, Metazoa, Echinodermata, Echinoidea, Temnopleuroida, Toxopneustidae. The record is from RefSeq and is a predicted model, not a curated record.